AUUCCCCUGGGGUGUUCGUUAUGGUUCCGAUUUCUUGAACCGAUAAGCAUCCAGACCCGGUGGUUCGCCUGAUGGAGACUGUUGUGCGCCGAACAAGAUUUGGUGCCUGAUGUUUUCGGUGGAUCGCCCUCUUUACGAGUUGGGGUUCAGGAUGACGGCCAGACGGCACUUUGGGGGAUCC
RNAcentral lists this non-coding RNA (181 nucleotides) under Ferrovum sp. RNAcentral's name for it is "6S RNA". It matches the Rfam family "6S / SsrS RNA". Rfam says of the family: E. coli 6S RNA was the first non coding RNA to be sequenced, but its function was unknown until recently. It consists of 184 nucleotides that fold into an extended hairpin structure with a large single-stranded internal bulge. The 6S RNA specifically associates with RNA polymerase holoenzyme containing the sigma70 specificity factor. The record is from RNAcentral. Lineage: Bacteria; Pseudomonadati; Pseudomonadota; Betaproteobacteria; Ferrovales; Ferrovaceae.